ACCGGCCGCGCGGGAGAGCGUGAGGGCAGGGCAACCGGCGCCUCACCACCGAAGGAGCAACCGCCCCGGAAACUCUCAGGUAAAUGGACCGCGCAGGCUGG
RNAcentral lists this non-coding RNA (101 nucleotides) under Sphingopyxis sp. Its description in RNAcentral is "Glycine sequence". It matches the Rfam family "Glycine riboswitch aptamer". Rfam says of the family: This family represents the bacterial glycine riboswitch. Glycine riboswitches usually consist of two metabolite-binding aptamers domains with similar structures in tandem. The aptamers cooperatively bind glycine to regulate the expression of downstream genes. The record is from RNAcentral. Lineage: Bacteria; Pseudomonadati; Pseudomonadota; Alphaproteobacteria; Sphingomonadales; Sphingopyxidaceae.